UACGGAGGGUGCAAGCGUUAUCCGGAUUCACUGGGUUUAAAGGGUGCGUAGGUGGCUUUGUAAGUCAGUGGUGAAAUCUUGGAGCUUAACUCCGAAACUGCCAUUGAUACUGCUUAGCUUGAAUCAAGUAGAGGUGGAUGGAAUAUUACAUGUAGCGGUGAAAUGCUUAGAUAUGUAAUAGAACACCGAUUGCGAAGGCAGUUCACUAUGCUUGUAUUGACACUGAGGCACGAAAGCGUGGGGAUCAAACAGG
This 253-nucleotide ribosomal RNA is filed under the name uncultured bacterium. RNAcentral describes it as "partial 16S ribosomal RNA". It matches the Rfam family "Bacterial small subunit ribosomal RNA", at positions 524 to 776 of the family's 1533-position model. The record is from RNAcentral.